GGCAGACGGGUGAGUAACGCGUGGGAACGUGCCCUUCGGUUCGGAAUAACUCAGGGAAACUUGAGCUAAUACCGGAUACGCCCUUUAGGGGGAAAGAUUUAUUGCCGAAGGAUCGGCCCGCGUCCGAUUAGCUAGUUGGUGAGGUAACGGCUCACCAAGGCGACGAUCGGUAGCUGGUCUGAGAGGAUGAUCAGCCACACUGGGACUGAGACACGGCCCAGACUCCUACGGGAGGCAGCAGUGGGGAAUAUUGGACAAUGGGCGCAAGCCUGAUCCAGCCAUGCCGCGUGAGUGAUGAAGGCCCUAGGGUUGUAAAGCUCUUUCGCCAGGGACGAUAAUGACGGUACCUGGAUAAGAAGCCCCGGCUAACUUCGUGCCAGCAGCCGCGGUAAUACGAAGGGGGCUAGCGUUGUUCGGAAUCACUGGACGUAAAGCGCACGUAGGCGGAUUUUUAAGUCAGGGGUGAAAUCCCGAGGCUCAACCUCGGAACUGCCUUUGAUACUGGAGAUCUGGAGUCCGGGAGAGGUGAGUGGAACUGC
Molecule: ribosomal RNA, 539 nt
Filed under: uncultured Methylosinus sp.
Lineage: Bacteria; Pseudomonadati; Pseudomonadota; Alphaproteobacteria; Hyphomicrobiales; Methylocystaceae
Description: bacterial SSU rRNA
Rfam family: Bacterial small subunit ribosomal RNA
Source: RNAcentral